AGGGGGUGUGAGAGCACGGCCCCCCACAAUGGGACUGAAACACGGCCCAUACUCCUACGGGAGGCAGCAGCAGGGAAUAUUGCACAAUAGGCGAAAGCCUGAUGCAGCGACGCCGCGUGAGUGAAGAAGGCCUUCGGGUCGUAAAGCUCUUUUGUAGGGGAAGAGGAAGGACGGUACCCUAAGAAGAAGCGUCGGCUAACUACGUGCCAGCAGCCGCGGUAAGACGUAGGACGCGAGCGUUAUCCGGAAUUACUGGGCGUAAAGGGCCAGCAGGCGGCUUGGUAAGUUGUGCGUGAAAGCCUCGUGCUCAACGCGAGGAAGCCGGACAAUACUGUCAAGCUAGAGGGCAUCAGAGGGGAGUGGAAUUCCCGGAGUAGCGGUAAAAUGCGCAGAUAUCGGGAGGAACACCGAUGGCGAAGGCAGCUCCCUGGGAUGUACCUGACGCUAAGGGGCGAAAGCUAGGGGAGCGAACAGGAUUAGAGACCCUGGUAGUCCUAGCUGUAAACGCUGGGUGCUAGGUGUGGGACGUAGAAGUUCCGUGCCGGAGCAAACGCGAUAAGCACCCCGCCUGGGAAUUACGGUCGCAAGGCUAAAACUCAAACGAAUUGACGGGGCCCCGCACAAGCAGCGGAGCGUGUGGUUCAAUUCGAUGCUACACGAAGAACCUUACCUGGGUUUGACAUGUACGUGGUACGAAGGCGAAAGCCUAAGGACCCUUCGGGGAGCGUACACAGGUGCUGCAUGGCUGUCGUCAGCUCGUGCCGUGAGGUGUCGGGUUAAGUCCCGUAACGAGCGCAACCCUUGCCCUUAGUUACAAGUGUCUAAGGGGACUGCCGGCGGGAAGCCGGAGGAAGGUGGGGAUGACGUCAAGUCAGCAUGGCCCUUAUGUCCAGGGCUACACACACGCUACAAUGGUCAGUACAAAGGGUAGCGAAGUCGCGAGGCGGAGCGAAUCUCAACAAAGCUGAUCGUAGUUCGGAUUGCAGGCUGCAACCCGCCUGCAUGAAGCUGGAGUUGCUAGUAACCGCGCGUCAGCCAUAGUGCGGUGAAUACGUACCCGGGGCUUGUACACACCGCCCGUCACGUCAUGGGAGUCGGUAACGCACUGAAGCCGGUAGUCUGGCCCGCAAGGGGGACGCUGUC
Molecule: ribosomal RNA, 1143 nt
Filed under: uncultured organism
Description: bacterial SSU rRNA
Rfam family: Bacterial small subunit ribosomal RNA
Source: RNAcentral